UUUCUUUGAUGUUUGGUCUCUUU
Molecule: non-coding RNA, 23 nt
Filed under: Rattus norvegicus (Norway rat)
Lineage: Eukaryota; Metazoa; Chordata; Mammalia; Rodentia; Muridae
Source: RNAcentral